This 490-nucleotide ribosomal RNA is filed under the name uncultured bacterium. RNAcentral describes it as "partial 16S ribosomal RNA". It matches the Rfam family "Bacterial small subunit ribosomal RNA", at positions 29 to 506 of the family's 1533-position model. The record is from RNAcentral.
GUGAACGCUGGCGGUAGGCCUAACACCUGCAAGUCGAACGGCAGCACAGUAAGAGCUUGCUCUUACGGGUGGCGAGUGGCGGACGGGUGAGGAAUACAUCGGAAUCUACUUUUUCGUGGGGGAUAACGUAGGGAAACUUACGCUAAUACCGCAUACGACCUACGGGUGAAAGCAGGGGAUCUUCGGACCUUGCGCGAUUGAAUGAGCCGAUGUCGGAUUAGCUAGUUGGCGGGGUAAAGGCCCACCAAGGCGACGAUCCGUAGCUGGUCUGAGAGGAUGAUCAGCCACACUGGAACUGAGACACGGUCCAGACUCCUACGGGAGGCAGCAGUGGGGAAUAUUGGACAGUGGGCGCAAGCCUGAUCCAGCCAUACCGCGUGGGUGAAGAAGGCCUUCGGGUUGUAAAGCCCUUUUGUUGGGAAAGAAAAGCAGCAGGUUAAUACCCCGCUGUUCUGACGGUACCCAAAGAAUAAGCACCGGCUAACUUCGU